CCCAGCAAUGGGAUGCGAAUCUCGAAAGACCUGUCUCAGUUCGGAUUGGAGGCUGAAACCCGCCUCCAUGAAGUUGGAUUCGCUAGUAAUCGCGCAUCAGCCAUGGCGCGGUGAAUACGUUCCCGGGUCUUGUACACACCGCCCGUCACACCAUGGGAGUCAGUAACGCCCGAAGUCAGUGACCUAACCGAAAGGGAGGAGCUGCCGAAGGCGGGACGGAUGACUGGGGUGAAGUCGUAACAAGGUAAC
RNAcentral lists this ribosomal RNA (249 nucleotides) under uncultured bacterium. RNAcentral describes it as "partial 16S ribosomal RNA". It matches the Rfam family "Bacterial small subunit ribosomal RNA", at positions 1253 to 1500 of the family's 1533-position model. The record is from RNAcentral.